CUACGGGGGGCACCAGUGGGGAAUAUUGGACAAUGGGGGAAACCCUGAUCCAGCAAUGCCGCGUGUGUGAAGAAGGCCUGCGGGUUGUAAAGCACUUUCGGUUGGGAGGACUGCUUCUAGCACUAAUAUUGUUGGAAGUUGACGUUACCUUCAGAAGAAGCACCGGCUAACUCCGUGCCAGCAGCCGCGGUAAUACGGGAGGGUGCAAGCGUUAAUCGGAAUUACUGGGCGUAAAGCGCGCGUAGGCGGCUAGAUCAGUCGGGUGUGAAAGCCCCGGGCUUAACCUGGGAACUGCAUCCGAUACUGUCUAGCUUGAGUACAGGAGAGGAGAGUGGAAUUCCACAUGUAGCGGUGAAAUGCGUAGAUAUGUGGAGGAACACCAAUGGCGAAGGCAGCUCUCUGGCCUGAUACUGACGCUGAGGUGCGAAAGCGUGGGGAGCAAACAGGAUUAGAUACCCUUCGUAGUC
This 467-nucleotide ribosomal RNA is filed under the name uncultured bacterium. Its description in RNAcentral is "partial 16S ribosomal RNA". It matches the Rfam family "Bacterial small subunit ribosomal RNA", at positions 339 to 795 of the family's 1533-position model. The record is from RNAcentral.